GACGGACGCUGGCGGCGUGCCUAAUACAUGCAAGUAGAACGCUGAAGAGAGGAGCUUGCUCUUCUUGGAUGAGUUGCGAACGGGUGAGUAACGCGUAGGUAACCUGCCUUGUAGCGGGGGAUAACUAUUGGAAACGAUAGCUAAUACCGCAUAACAAUGGAUGACCCAUGUCAUUUAUUUGAAAGGGGCAAAUGCUCCACUACAAGAUGGACCUGCGUUGUAUUAGCUAGUAGGUGAGGUAACGGCUCACCUAGGCGACGAUACAUAGCCGACCUGAGAGGGUGAUCGGCCACACUGGGACUGAGACACGGCCCAGACUCCUACGGGAGGCAGCAGUAGGGAAUCUUCGGCAAUGGGGGCAACCCUGACCGAGCAACGCCGCGUGAGUGAAGAAGGUUUUCGGAUCGUAAAGCUCUGUUGUAAGUCAAGAACGAGUGUGAGAGUGGAAAGUUCACACUGUGACGGUAGCUUACCAGAAAGGGACGGCUAACUACGUG
RNAcentral lists this ribosomal RNA (497 nucleotides) under uncultured bacterium. RNAcentral describes it as "partial 16S ribosomal RNA". It matches the Rfam family "Bacterial small subunit ribosomal RNA", at positions 28 to 507 of the family's 1533-position model. The record is from RNAcentral.